GGCUUUGUAGUACAAUGGAUAGUACAAGAGUUUCCGAAGCUCCAGAUUCAGGUUCGAUUCCUGACAAAGCCA
Molecule: transfer RNA, 72 nt
Filed under: Chitinophagaceae bacterium
Lineage: Bacteria; Pseudomonadati; Bacteroidota; Chitinophagia; Chitinophagales; Chitinophagaceae
Description: tRNA-Arg
Rfam family: tRNA
About the family: Transfer RNA (tRNA) molecules are approximately 80 nucleotides in length. Their secondary structure includes four short double-helical elements and three loops (D, anti-codon, and T loops).
Source: RNAcentral